GUGUGUGGUAAGUGUGUGUGUGUGAGGUAAGUGUGUGUGUGUGAGGUAAGUGUGUGUGUGUGAGGUAAGUGUGUGUGUGUGAGGUAAGUGUGUGUGAGGUAAGUGUGUGGUAAGUGUGUGUGUGUGUGUGAGGUAAGUGUGUGUGAGGUAAGUGUGUGUGUGUGUGUGUGAGGUAAGUGUGUGAGGUAAGUGUGUGUGUGUGUGUGAGGUAAGUGUGUGAGGUAAGUGUGUGUGUGUGUGUGAGGUAAGUGUGUGUGUGUGUGUGAGGUAAGUGUGUGUGUGUGUGAGGUAAGUGUGUGAGGUAAGUGUGUGUGUGUGAGGUAAGUGUGUGUGUGUGUGUGAGGUAAGUGUGUGUGUGUGUGUGUGAGGUAAGUGUGUGUGUGUGUGUGUGAGGUAAGUGUGUGUGUGUGUGUGAGGUAAGUGUGUGUGUGUGUGUGAGGUAAGUGUGUGUGUGUGUGUGUGUGAGGUAAGUGUGUGUGAGGUAAGUGUGUGUGAGGUAAGUGUGUGUGUGAGGUAAGUGUGUGUGUGAGGUAAGUGUGUGUGUGUGUGAGGUAAGUGUGUGUGUGUGUGUGUGUGUGUGAGGUGUGUGUGUGAGGUAAGUGUGUGUGUGUGUGUGUGUGUGUGAGGUGUGUGUGUGUGUGUGUGUGAGGUAAGUGUGUGUGUGUGUGAGGUAAGUGUGUGUGUGUGUGAGGUAAGUGUGUGUGUGUGUGAGGUAAGUGUGUGUGUGUGUGAGGUAAGUGUGUGUGUGUGUGAGGUAAGUGUGUGUGUGUGUGUGAGGUAAGUGUGUGUGUGUGUGAGGUAAGUGUGUGUGUGUGAGGUAAGUGUGUGUGUGUGAGAGAUAUGUGAGGUAAGUGUGUUUGAGUAGUGUGUGUGUGUGUGAGAGAGAGGUAAGUGUGUGAGAGAGAGAGAGGUAAGUGUGUGAGAGAGAGGUAAGUGUGUGUGUGAGAGAGAGGUAAGUGUGUGUGUGAGAGAGGUAAGUGUGUGUGUGAGAGAGAGGUAAGUGUGUGUGUGAGAGAGAGGUAAGUGUGUGUGUGAGAGAGAGAGGGAAGUGUGUGUGUGAGGGAAGUGUGUGUGUGUGUGUGUGUGUGUGAGAGAUGUGAGGUAAGUGUGUGUGUGAGAGAUGUGAGGUAAGUGUGUGUGUGAGAGAUGUGAGGUAAAUGUGUGCGUGUGAGAGGUGAGGUAACUGUGUUUGAGUAGUGUGUGUGUGUGUGAGAGAGAGAGAGGUAAGUGUGUGUGAGAGAGAGGUAAGUGUGUGUGAGAGAGAGGUAAGUGUGUGUGUGUGAGAGAGGUAAGUGUGUGUGUGUGUGAGAGAGGUAAGUGUGUGUGUGUGAGAGAGAGGUAAGUGUGUGUGUGUGAGAGAGAGGUAAGUGUGUGUGUGUGAGAGAGAGGUAAGUGUGUGUGUGUGAGAGAGAGGUAAGUGUGUGUGAGAGAGAGGUAAGUGUGUGUGUGUGAGAGAGAGGUAAGUGUGUGUGAGAGAGAGAGGUAAGUGUGUGUGAGAGAGAGAGAGGUAAGUGUGUGUGUGAGAGAGAGAGGGAAGUGUGUGUGUGAGGGAAGUGUGUGUGUGUGUGUGUGUGUGUGAGAGAUGUGAGGUAAGUGUGUGUGUGAGAGAGGGAUGUGAGGUAAGUGUGUGUGUGAGUAGUGUGUGUGUGUGAGGUAAGUGUGUGUGUGAGGUAAGUGUGUGUGUGAGAGAGAGAGAGAGAGAGGUAAGUGUGUGUGAGAGAGGGGACAGAGUGUGUGUACACUAGAGACUGUCCAUUUUAAAACUGGUAGGAAAUAUUCAGAGAAGGCUACUUUUCGCUGUUUGAAGAAAGUUGUCCACCUUUUAAUUUUUAAGUGCAAAGUUGUACUUUGAAUAGUUUUUUUCUGGUUAUUUCUACGUUUAUUUUUUAUAUAAAUAAAUCUUACCUUGGUUCUCCCUCAUACAGAUCUGAAGUUCACUCCUUUUGGUGUCCGGGGCACAUUUUCUUGUAAGACUUAGAUUUGUUGAAAUACUGAAUCUGGUUUCCCCAUCAACAACAGACUGAAUUUCUUUCGUACCUGAUUUCAGGGCAGUUCCACCUGCACGGUUCGGUGAAGUUGCCUCCUAGACGCUGAUCUUGGGUCAACCACUAACGGUUGAGGUUUGGAUUGGGGGAGGGGGAGGGGGGAUAAACUGAUUCUAGAUCUGUAGCUAGGGGGAAACUUCACCUUUUUAGCCUCUUAGACUGCAGAGCUGUUAUCUACUUACAGUACGUGUCACUCCCCCCAAGUCUACAAAAAGAAACAGAUUAAUCUAUUUACAUGGAUCUUUAUCUUUUAAUCUCUAGUUUUUUUUUUCUGUUGCUUUUUGUUACCUCCCAUUUUCAGAGCAGAUUCUAAGUGUUAUCGAUUGUUCCUGUAUUGAUGUGGCAUGUCAUGUGUAUGUGAUACAGUUUGGAGUGAGGCAGAAUAAAGAGGGGUUUCGUACCGUUUGGUUUCCGUUUUGUCUCGCUCCCCAAUGAACUAUAACCAACGAGUGAAUGAGUUUGUCUCAAAAUCUUCCCUAUUCCCUUAUUUGUAACAGGCUUCCAAUAGUGAAAAUGUAAAGAUCUUUCAAGUUAAUCACCUGACAAAAGUUCAACAAAUAGCUACCCUGUUGAGGAAAAUGGCGGCACUCGGUUUGUUGUUUUGUAAAAUGUUGAAAGUCUAUUGGAAAGUUUGACUACUAGCUAGUUAGCUUCUUUUUGGGGAGGGGGGAGUUUCGAUCCCAUGAAGCGGUUGGCAUCAGUUGUUGGGACUGCUGACCAAGGCUGGGUCUGAGGAGCUGUGUGGCGUAGCAGGGUCAUGAUGAUGAUGAUAAUAAUAAUCACAGUGGUUGUCGAGGGUACAACAGGUCACCACCUCAAGAAUAAAUGUCAGUUGGCUUUUCAUAGCCCAUCAUUCAGAGUUAGAGACAGCAGGUGUGGUAGAGGGAGUCCAAAAC
Molecule: long non-coding RNA, 2941 nt
Organism: Oncorhynchus tshawytscha (Chinook salmon)
Lineage: Eukaryota; Metazoa; Chordata; Actinopteri; Salmoniformes; Salmonidae
Source: Ensembl